AAGUCGGGCCUGCCCACUGAGUAAGAGAACGGCCGUAUUACCCUAUCCGUGCGCGGAAAAAAACCAGUUGUUUCUUAAAGGGGGACCGGUAGGAAUGGCUCCACGAGGGUUCAGCUGUCUCUUACUUUAUCCAGUUUUUCCUGCCCGUGAAGAGGCGGGAAUUUCACAGCAGGACGAGAAGACCCUAUGGAGCUUUAUUUAUUUAUGAAACAGAUUUACCUACAAACCCUUUGUCCUAAACUACCAUUAUAUUCGGUUGGGGCGACCUCGAGCAGUAAAAGACUUCCCAGUCAAAGCGAACUAUUAUACUCAAUUGAUCCAAUUUCUAGAUCAAAGGAUCAAGUUACCCAAGGGAUUACAGCAUUCCUAUUCAAGAGUCCAUAUCAACAAUAUGGUUUACGACCUCGAUGUUGGAUCAAAGCAAUACCAUGGUGCAUCCGCUAUAUUAAUAAGUCUGUUCGACUUUAUAAUUCUUAC
RNAcentral lists this ribosomal RNA (477 nucleotides) under Afroanthracites sp. N Pare. RNAcentral's name for it is "partial 16S ribosomal RNA". It matches the Rfam family "Bacterial large subunit ribosomal RNA", at positions 1896 to 2599 of the family's 2925-position model. Lineage: Eukaryota; Metazoa; Arthropoda; Insecta; Orthoptera; Tettigoniidae. The record is from RNAcentral.